GAUGAACGCUGACAGAAUGCUUAACACAUGCAAGUCGACUUGAAUUUGGGUUUUUAACUUAGGCUUGGGUGGCGGACGGGUGAGUAACGCGUAAAGAACUUGCCUCACAGCUAGGGACAACAUUUGGAAACGAAUGCUAAUACCUAAUAUUAUGAUAAUAGGGCAUCCUAUAAUUAUGAAAGCUAUAAGCGCUGUGAGAGAGCUUUGCGUCACAUUAGCUAGUUGGAGAGGUAACGGCUCACCAAGGCGAUGAUGGGUAGCCGGCCUGAGAGGGUGAUCGGCCACAAGGGGACUGAGGCACGGCCCUUACUCCUACGGGAGGCAGCAGUGGGGAAUAUUGGACAAUGGACCAAGAGUCUGAUCCAGCAAUUCUGUGUGCACGAUGAAGUUUUUCGGAAUGUAAAGUGCUUUCAGUUGGGAAGAAAGAAAUGACGGUACCAACAGAAGAAGUGACGGCUAAAUACGUG
This 467-nucleotide ribosomal RNA is filed under the name uncultured bacterium. RNAcentral describes it as "partial 16S ribosomal RNA". It matches the Rfam family "Bacterial small subunit ribosomal RNA", at positions 28 to 507 of the family's 1533-position model. The record is from RNAcentral.